This 465-nucleotide ribosomal RNA is filed under the name uncultured bacterium. Its description in RNAcentral is "partial 16S ribosomal RNA". It matches the Rfam family "Bacterial small subunit ribosomal RNA", at positions 28 to 507 of the family's 1533-position model. The record is from RNAcentral.
GAUGAACGCUGGCGGCGUGCCUAACACAUGCAAGUCGAGCGGAGAAUUGUUUCUUGCAACAAUUCUUAGCGGCGGACGGGUGAGUAACACGUGGGUAACCUGCCCUAAACAAAGGGAUAACAAUGAGAAAUCAUUGCUAAUACCGUAUAAGCUUACACUAUCGCAUGAUAGAGUAAGAAAAGAGUUAUCGGUUUAGGAGGGGCCCGCGUCUGAUUAGCUAGGUGGGUAGGUAACGGCUCACCAAGGCGACGAGCAGUAGCCGACCUGAGAGGGUGAUCGGCCACAUGGGGACUGAGACACGGCGCAAACUCCUACGGGAGGCAGCAGUGGAGAAUAUUGCACAAUGGAGGAAACGCUGAUGCAGCAACGCCGCGUGAAGGAAGAAGGUUGUCGGAUCGUAAACUUCUAGCUACAGGGAAGAAAAAAAUGACGGUACCUGAGUAAGAAGCCCCGGCUAACUACGUG